UGUUGUAGUCCAUGAAGUCAAGUGCAAGCUGUAUGUCAAGUCAAGUGAUCCAGCAGAUAAAGACACAUGGAAAGACAAAGGUACCGGGCAGCUUUCUAUCAAACGCAAAGAGGAUGUAGCCAAGGGUACAAAAGAGUCGAAACCGACAAUAGUUGUUCGAAAUGAUGUCGGAAGAGUGUUAUUAAAUGCUUUGCUAUAUCCAGGAAUCAAGACAAAUGCACAAAAGAAUUCCCUUGUUGCAAUAUUUCAUACUGCGGGCGAGGAUGGUGGCAACAGUGAUAACGUUGUGGCACGCACCUUCUUAAUUAGGACAAAAACAGAGGAGGAUCGAAAUAAAUUGGCAACAGCAAUACAAGAAUAUGCUCCUGCAUCAUGAUGGUAAUUGUAUGACAUUAUUCUCAAAUUUUGCAGUAAUCAAGCUUAUUAGGAACUAAGCCAACUUAUGGGAGCCAAAAAUAACCGG
This 463-nucleotide unclassified non-coding RNA is filed under the name Hevea brasiliensis (rubber tree). Lineage: Eukaryota; Viridiplantae; Streptophyta; Magnoliopsida; Malpighiales; Euphorbiaceae. The record is from RNAcentral.